This 445-nucleotide ribosomal RNA is filed under the name uncultured bacterium. Its description in RNAcentral is "partial 16S ribosomal RNA". It matches the Rfam family "Bacterial small subunit ribosomal RNA", at positions 354 to 796 of the family's 1533-position model. The record is from RNAcentral.
GUGAGGAAUAUUGGUCAAUGGGCGAGAGCCUGAACCAGCCAAGUCGCGUGAAGGAAGAAGGAUCUAUGGUUCGUAAACUUCUUUUGCAGGGGAAUAAAGUGCGGGACGUGUCCUGUUUUGUAUGUACCCUGAGAAUAAGGAUCGGCUAACUCCGUGCCAGCAGCCGCGGUAAUACGGAGGAUCCGAGCGUUAUCCGGAUUUAUUGGGUUUAAAGGGUGCGUAGGUGGUUUGAUAAGUCAGCGGUGAAAGUUUGCAGCUUAACUGUAAAAAUGCCGUUGAAACUGUCGGACUUGAGUGUAGAUGAGGUAGGCGGAAUGCGUGGUGUAGCGGUGAAAUGCAUAGAUAUCACGCAGAACUCCGAUUGCGAAGGCAGCUUACUAAGCUACAACUGACACUGAAGCACGAAAGCGUGGGGAUCAAACAGGAUUAGAAACCCCUGUAGUCC